CGUCCGCCUCCGCGCGGCCGCAUUGUCUGCCCCGGCCGCGGAGCCCCCGCGGCCCCGGCCCGGCCCCUUUGUUCGGGGGGGAGCCGGGCCAUUGUCCUGCCCGCCGGCCCCGGGCAGCGCGGGGGUUUCAAGUUUCCCCUGUUAACUGCCGUGGCUAGAGAAGUAACACCGAGUUGUAGAGCUGGGAGUCAGGCACCGAGGCACUCAGUUUACCGUACUGCACAGCAGGAACGCUCAUGGAAUCAGCUCCAAAAAAAGCUCCAUGUCACACAGCUGCUCCCAGCGCAGAGGAACACCUUCCCCAGGAGAUGGAGACCCUACAGUACAAGUCACCAAAUAUCACCAUCUGGGAAGAAAAUUAAGCUGGUUGAUCACCUUCCAACAGCUGGUCUGCAGCACAUCCCAAACUUGAGGGGCUCUGUCAGGGAGAACACUACCUUUGAAACUUUGGGUCUGAGUGUCCCUGAGGGGCAGAGAUGUUUGAA
Poecile atricapillus (Black-capped chickadee) is the source of this 485-nucleotide long non-coding RNA. RefSeq lists it as uncharacterized. The record is from RefSeq and is a predicted model, not a curated record. NCBI's taxonomy places the organism in Eukaryota, Metazoa, Chordata, Aves, Passeriformes, Paridae. The transcript has 3 exons.